RNAcentral lists this ribosomal RNA (468 nucleotides) under uncultured bacterium. RNAcentral's name for it is "bacterial SSU rRNA". It matches the Rfam family "Bacterial small subunit ribosomal RNA", at positions 331 to 793 of the family's 1533-position model. The record is from RNAcentral.
GAGCACUCCUACGGGAGGCAGCAGUGGGAAUAUUGCACAAUGGGGGAAACCUGAUGCAGCCAUGCCGCGUGUGUGAAGAAGGCCUUCGGGUUGUAAAGCACUUUCAGUAGGGAGGAAGGUAGUGUAGUUAACACCUGCACUAUUUGACUAGCUUGACACAGAAGAAGCACCGGCUAACUCCGUGCCAGCAGCCGCGGUAAUACGGAGGGUGCGAGCGUUAAUCGGAAUUACUGGGCGUAAAGCGCAUGCAGGUGGUUUGUUAAGUCAGAUGUGAAAGCCCGGGGCUCAACCUCGGAAUAGCAUUUGAAACUGGCAGACUAGAGUACUGUAGAGGGGUAGAAUUUCAGGUGUAGCGGUGAAAUGCGUAGAGAUCUGAAGGAAUACCGGUGGCGAAGGCGGCCCCCUGGACAGAUACUGACACUCAGAUGCGAAAGCGUGGGGAGCAAACAGGAUUAGAUACCCUGGUAG